CAGGAUGAACGCGGCGGUGUGCUAAUACAUGCAAGUCGAACGCGUUGGCCCAAUUGAUUGAUGGUGCUUGCACCUGAUAGAUUUUGGUCGCCAACGAGUGGCGGACGGGUGAGUAACACGUAGGUAACCUGCCCAGAAGCGGGGGACAACAUUUGGAAACAGAUGCUAAUACCGCAUAACAACGUUGUUCGCAUGAACAACGCUUAAAAGAUGGCUUCUCGCUAUCACUUCUGGAUGGACCUGCGGUGCAUUAGCUUGUUGGUGGGGUAAUGGCCUACCAAGGCGAUGAUGCAUAGCCGAGUUGAGAGACUGAUCGGCCACAAUGGGACUGAGACACGGCCCAUACUCCUACGGGAGGCAGCAGUAGGGAAUCUUCCACAAUGGGCGCAAGCCUGAUGGAGCAACACCGCGUGAGUGAAGAAGGGUUUCGGCUCGUAAAGCUCUGUUGUUAAAGAAGAACACGUAUGAGAGUAACUGUUCAUACGUUGACGGUAUUUAACCAGAAAGUCACGGCUAACUACGUGCCAGCAGCCGCGGUAAUACGUAGGUGGCAAGCGUUAUCCGGAUUUAUUGGGCGUAAAGAGAGUGCAGGCGGUUUUCUAAGUCUGAUGUGAAAGCCUUCGGCUUAACCGGAGAAGUGCAUCGGAAACUGGAUAACUUGAGUGCAGAAGAGGGUAGUGGAACUCCAUGUGUAGCGGUGGAAUGCGUAGAUAUAUGGAAGAACACCAGUGGCGAAGGCGGCUACCUGGUCUGCAACUGACGCUGAGACUCGAAAGCAUGGGUAGCGAACAGGAUUAGAUACCCUGGUAGUCCAUGCCGUAAACGAUGAGUGCUAGGUGUUGGAGGGUUUCCGCCCUUCAGUGCCGGAGCUAACGCAUUAAGCACUCCGCCUGGGGAGUACGACCGCAAGGUUGAAACUCAAAGGAAUUGACGGGGGCCCGCACAAGCGGUGGAGCAUGUGGUUUAAUUCGAAGCUACGCGAAGAACCUUACCAGGUCUUGACAUCUUGCGCCAACCCUAGAGAUAGGGCGUUUCCUUCGGGAACGCAAUGACAGGUGGUGCAUGGUCGUCGUCAGCUCGUGUCGUGAGAUGUUGGGUUAAGUCCCGCAACGAGCGCAACCCUUGUUACUAGUUGCCAGCAUUAAGUUGGGCACUCUAGUGAGACUGCCGGUGACAAACCGGAGGAAGGUGGGGACGACGUCAGAUCAUCAUGCCCCUUAUGACUUGGGCUACAACGUGCUACAAUGGACGG
RNAcentral lists this ribosomal RNA (1252 nucleotides) under Limosilactobacillus fermentum. RNAcentral's name for it is "bacterial SSU rRNA". It matches the Rfam family "Bacterial small subunit ribosomal RNA", at positions 25 to 1237 of the family's 1533-position model. Lineage: Bacteria; Bacillati; Bacillota; Bacilli; Lactobacillales; Lactobacillaceae. The record is from RNAcentral.